This 253-nucleotide ribosomal RNA is filed under the name uncultured prokaryote. RNAcentral's name for it is "partial 16S ribosomal RNA". It matches the Rfam family "Bacterial small subunit ribosomal RNA", at positions 525 to 777 of the family's 1533-position model. The record is from RNAcentral.
ACGAAGGGUGCAAGCGUUACUCGGAAUUACUGGGCGUAAAGCGUGCGUAGGUGGUUCGUUAAGUCUGAUGUGAAAGCCCUGGGCUCAACCUGGGAAUGGCAUUGGAUACUGGCGACCUAGAGUGCGGUAGAGGGUAGCGGAAUUCCCGGUGUAGCAGUGAAAUGCGUAGAGAUCGGGAGGAACACCAGUGGCGAAGGCGACUGUCUGGGGAGCAACUGACGCUGAGGCGCGAAAGCUGGGGGAGCAAACGGGA